RNAcentral lists this ribosomal RNA (1351 nucleotides) under Acinetobacter baumannii. RNAcentral's name for it is "partial 23S ribosomal RNA". It matches the Rfam family "Bacterial large subunit ribosomal RNA", at positions 1 to 1368 of the family's 2925-position model. Lineage: Bacteria; Pseudomonadati; Pseudomonadota; Gammaproteobacteria; Moraxellales; Moraxellaceae. The record is from RNAcentral.
GUUGUAUAGUCAAGUAAUUAAGUGCAUGUGGUGGAUGCCUUGGCAGUCAGAGGCGAUGAAAGACGUGAUAGCCUGCGAAAAGCUCCGGGGAGGCGGCAAAUAUCCUUUGAUCCGGAGAUGUCUGAAUGGGGGAACCCACCUACUUUAAGGUAGGUAUUGCAACAUGAAUACAUAGUGUUGCAAGGCGAACGAGGGGAAGUGAAACAUCUCAGUACCCUUAGGAAAAGAAAUCAAUUGAGAUUCCCUCAGUAGCGGCGAGCGAACGGGGAUCAGCCCAUUAAGUUAUGUGUGUUUUAGUGGAACGCUCUGGGAAGUGCGAACGUAGAGGGUGAUAUUCCCGUACACGAAAGGGCACACAUAAUGAUGACGAGUAGGGCGAGGCACGUGAAACCUUGUCUGAAUAUGGGGGGACCAUCCUCCAAGGCUAAAUACUCCUGACUGACCGAUAGUGAACCAGUACCGUGAGGGAAAGGCGAAAAGAACCCCUGUGAGGGGAGUGAAAUAGAUCCUGAAACCGCAUGCAUACAAGCAGUGGGAGCACCUUCGUGGUGUGACUGCGUACCUUUUGUAUAAUGGGUCAGCGACUUAUAUUCAGUAGCAAGGUUAACCGUAUAGGGGAGCCGUAGAGAAAUCGAGUCUUAAUAGGGCGUUUAGUUGCUGGGUAUAGACCCGAAACCAGGCGAUCUAUCCAUGAGCAGGUUGAAGGUUGGGUAACACUAACUGGAGGACCGAACCCACUGUCGUUGAAAAGCCAGGGGAUGACUUGUGGAUAGGGGUGAAAGGCUAAUCAAGCCUGGUGAUAGCUGGUUCUCCCCGAAAGCUAUUUAGGUAGCGCCUCGGACGAAUACCAUAGGGGGUAGAGCACUGUUUCGGCUAGGGGGUCAUCCCGACUUACCAAACCGAUGCAAACUCCGAAUACCUAUGAGUACUAUCCGGGAGACAGACUGCGGGUGCUAACGUCCGUAGUCAAGAGGAAAACAAUCCAGACCGCCAGCUAAGGCCCCAAAAUCAUAGUUAAGUGGGAAACGAUGUGGGAAGGCAUAGACAGCUAGGAGGUUGGCUUAGAAGCAGCCACCCUUUAAAGAAAGCGUAAUAGCUCACUAGUCGAGUCGGCCUGCGCGGAAGAUGUAACGGGGCUAAAACUAUGUGCCGAAGCUGCGGAUNNNNNNNNNNNNNNNNNNNNNNNNNNNNNUUGACAUUAGUCAAGUGGUAGGGGAGCGUUCUGUAAGCCGAUGAAGGUGUAUUGAGAAGUAUGCUGGAGGUAUCAGAAGUGCGAAUGCUGACGUGAGUAACGACAAAACGGGUGAAAAACCCGUUCGCCGAAAGACCAAGGGUUCCAGUCCAACGUUAA